CAAAGUCUAUAUGAAAUAGGAAGGCACCCUGUGUGAAGUAGUGCCUGAGCUAUGCUUUGAGGGAAGCAGGGAUUCUGAGAGGGACAGGUAAGGAGGGUGGGCAUCCGGGCAGCUAGGCACCAUGAUGCCUUGAGUGGGGAAGUCAUUUGCCUGAGGUCGCCUAGGAAGGGAUAGAGUUAGGAUUGGAACCCAAAUCGUGUGACUCCAAGCCCCCAAGGCUGAGAGUAUUGAAAUGAGCUUGACCUCUGAGCUUUCCUGAAGGAAGACUUCUUGUUUCUCCUUCCUCUCCUAUUAAGCUUCUUCUUAUUUGACCUAUUAUUUCAUUCAGAACCUAAUGCUGUGAAGUUAGCUUCACUUGAAAGUGUAUUUGAGAGACAGAAGAAAACCCUGCAUGGAAGGGGCAAUGUGGGGUCUGCUUCCCGGGCAGAAGUAAAACAGGGGAAUAGAGCCCGGGAGUGAAGAGAGUGGGAUGGAGGUGAUCAGCAAAGGCAUCACUGAGGAGUCAAUUCAACAGGCCUUUAUUAUGCAUGAGGCACCGAGCUUGGAGUGGGGAUCUGGCUUAUGAAUUGAUUGAUGGAUGGAGGAUGAUUAGUCCUUCAAUCCAGUCAGGAUGAAAACCUUCAGGAUAACUGAAGAAGACAGUGGAGCUGAUGCUUAGACCCUCCAGAGAAGGGUCACUGGGAGACAGACACUGAACGUGAGUGGCUUAGACAAGGACAGCCACACGGCUGCUUCGGCUCCUACAUUCUUCCCUCUGUUCUUUG
This 764-nucleotide long non-coding RNA is filed under the name Phascolarctos cinereus (koala). RNAcentral describes it as "lncRNA (ENSPCIG00000032774.1)". Lineage: Eukaryota; Metazoa; Chordata; Mammalia; Diprotodontia; Phascolarctidae. The record is from RNAcentral.